Molecule: transfer RNA, 72 nt
Filed under: Methanobacteriota archaeon
Lineage: Archaea; Methanobacteriati; Methanobacteriota
Description: Euryarchaeota archaeon (soil metagenome) tRNA-Thr
Rfam family: tRNA
About the family: Transfer RNA (tRNA) molecules are approximately 80 nucleotides in length. Their secondary structure includes four short double-helical elements and three loops (D, anti-codon, and T loops). Further hydrogen bonds mediate the characteristic L-shaped molecular structure. tRNAs have two regions of fundamental functional importance: the anti-codon, which is responsible for specific mRNA codon recognition, and the 3' end, to which the tRNAs corresponding amino acid is attached (by aminoacyl-tRNA synthetases). tRNAs cope with the degeneracy of the genetic code in two manners: having more than one tRNA (with a specific anti-codon) for a particular amino acid; and 'wobble' base-pairing, i.e. permitting non-standard base-pairing at the 3rd anti-codon position.
Source: RNAcentral
GCCGUCGUAGCAUAGCGGUAGUGCGGCGGUCUUGUAAACCGCAGGUCGUGGGUUCGAUCCCCACCGACGGCU